GGAGUCCAAUAUUUAAACGCCA
This 22-nucleotide non-coding RNA is filed under the name Arabidopsis thaliana (thale cress). Lineage: Eukaryota; Viridiplantae; Streptophyta; Magnoliopsida; Brassicales; Brassicaceae. The record is from RNAcentral.